UGAUAUGAAGUUGCAAAAUGAUUUUCCUGGCAAAUCACUGCCACGGAGUCAAAAUCAAUUACCAUCCAAAAAAUCUGAAAAGAUUCCAGCCAUAACAGGUGAACCUGUAGUUGGAAUUGGGCCUGUCAUUGACUAUAAAGUUGGAAUUCAAUUAGAAAAACCAAUCCCCCAGAACGAGUGUUCCAAGGAUAUGAAGUUGCAAAAUGAUUUUCCUGGCAAAUCACUGCCACGGAGUCAAAAUCAAUUACCAUCCAAAAAAUCUGAAAAGAUUCCAGCCAUAACAGGUGAACCUGUAGUUGGAAUUGGGCCUGUCAUUGACUAUAAAGUUGGAAUUCAAUUAGAAAACCAAUCCCCAGAAGGAGUGUUCCAAGGAUAUGAAGUUGCAAAAUGAUUUUCCUGGCAAAUCACUGCCACGGAGUCAAAAUCAAUUACCAUCCAAAAAAUCUGAAAAGAUUCCAACCCUAAUAGGUGAACCUGUAGUUGGAAUCGGGUCUGUCAUUGACUAUAAAGUCGGAGUUCAGUUAAUAAAACCAGUCCCCCAGAAGAUGUAUUCCAAGGAUAUGAAGUUGCAAAAUGAUUAUCCUGGCAAAUCAGUGAGUCAAAAUCAAUUAGCAUCCACAAGAUUUGGAAAGAUUCCAUCCAAAGGUGGUGAAGCUGUAGUUGGAAUUGAGCCUAUCAUUGACUAUAAGAUUGGAGUUCAAUUAGAAAAACCUGUCCCCCAGAAGGAGUGUUCCAAGGAUAUGAAUUUGCAAAGUGAUUCUCCUGGCAAAUCACUGCCACUGAGUCAAAAUCAGUCACCAUCUCCAAAAUCUGGAAAUAUGCCAUCCCAAGAAGAUGAAGUAGCUGCAGCUGGAAGUGAGCCUGUCAUUGACUCUAAGGAGGGAGAUCAUUUAGAAAAACCAAUCUCCCAGAAGCAGUGUGAACCAUUUCUAGACAAAGAGAAACAGAAAGAAGUAAAGAAAGACUUGAAACAAGAAUUGAAAUUGAGAGGACCAUCAGAAUUACCAGAAGCAUCAUCUUCUUUGGCAAGUCACUUAAGUGAUUCUGUGGAAAAAGAAAAAGAUAAUUUUCUCAAUGUAGGAGAUCUUAAGUCAUUUCCUGGAAAAAGGGAAGAUAGUCUGGAAAAUAUCUUUUUACAGAAUUUAAAGAUCAACUUCCCAAAAAAUGUUUUACAAUUCUCUUCCCAUAUGUGCUCAAAAAAGAGCACCCCACAGUCUAAGAAUAAGCCAAAAACUGAACAUACUUGCAGUAUAAAUGAAGAGAAAAUUGCUUAUGUUGCAAAAAAUAUAAAAAAAAAUAACUCAAAAUCAGGCAUAAAUGAAAGAAACGAAGAUAGCUCAUUUGGUAUUGAAAUGACAUUUAGUCAGCACAAAAAUAUCACAAGUUUAGAAUCGGAUUCAGAUUUGCUCCAAUCAAGUGAUCCAGGAAGUUAUUUUGGUGUCGCAUCAAACAACCAAGAAAAAAUGCCUGAACUAAUUACUUCGAGAAAACAUAAGGAGAAAACAAAGCAUAUAGAAACCUCAUUCCAGAACAGUCAUCACAAUGCUACUAACUCACCAAAUGAGUUGGAAGAGAAAAGGCAAAAGCAUCAACAGAAUAAAACGGAAACACUGGAGAGACAAGAUGGUGAGAAAACUGAAAACAGAAGAGCUGUCAAAGCUAAUGAGCAAUUUUCAGUGGAGCAUGGUAAAGAUGAGGAAAAUAAAAUUCCUGGGGAAGAAAUACCAUUAAUGAGUAUUUCUUCCGAGGAAAAAUUAUCACCUAUGCACCAUAUUUUAAAUGGGUAAGUUUGUCAAAAUAAUUAACUGGAGUAUUAUUAUCAAAACUUAACAUUCAUGGUAUGUUCAGUUUACUCUAAAAAAUAUAGAUCCAGAUUCACUCUGCAUCCACUUGUUUUUUGCCAAGAAAGAAAUUAUAAAGUCCCAUGAAUGUAUAUUAUUCUAUUCCUGUAAGUAUAUUCUUUUAUUUUGUAACAGUUUUAUUUUGGAAGAAACAUUAGUGUUUAUUGAAAGAAGGUAGGUAGCCUUUAAUGAGAUCCAAAAGAUUAGCAUAUAAUAUAAGAUAUGGAUGGCAAGGAGCAAAGCAAGAUAGUUUGCAAAAGUUUGCAAAUGUAUAAAUAAUAAGUGCUGAGAUAUGAAAAUAGGCUUACAGCUAUUCCAAAAGUUAAAUGAGUUUUCUUAGUCAUUAGAAAGCUUCCCAUCAGUAGAAAUAUUCAAGAAUGAAUCAAUUUAAGUGCUUAUCAUGGCCAAGCACUGAGGAAAGUCAGACAAUCUAGAUUCUUGAGAAACUCACACUUAUAAUUGGAGACAUGCAAAUCAUUAAAAGGAUAAUUGCCAACCUAUUGCUAUAUAAGAUGGGCCUGAGGAGCAAAAGGCUAAUAAUGUCCUUUCAGGAUGGCAGAAAAAAAGGGGAAUUGAAAGAAAUGUAGAGAGAAGUGUUCAUGCAGCUCUUGUUUUAUAAGACCUUCUAGUGCUCAUGUGGCUACUGGACAGGCUGAAGAAGAACAAAAAGCAUAUAACUGCUACCUGCUGCCCCACCUAAAAAUGUCUUAAGAGGACCAUAAGGUGAAAGAUGAGACACAGGAAUAUGGUAAAGAGGGUUCCCGAUUCACAUUAUGACUGUACUUACUAGAAAGACCUCUAAAGUUCCAACUCAUGAGAGUUGUAAUGUGGAAGUGUUCUGGCUUAACAUUGAGAAAGUAGAGGAUGUUUUUAAAAAAAAAAAAAAAAAAAGCGCAAGCCUGGAUUUACUUUUAUUAAAAUAAUUUAACAGCCUGAAAAAACUUAUCCUAAAAUAAUUUCAACCAUAUAUAACCUAUUUGAGAGACACUGAAAAAGGCAUCUUUUCCUGCCUCAAUGCCAGAACUCAUACAUUGUGACCUCAGUGGCAAACAGACAGAAAACUAUCUACUGUUCCUUUGAGUAGUGGGGAGUAACCAUAUUAGAUUUAUUUGUGAUAGUAAAGCCAUGGAUAACUGAAAGCUUCUUGUCAUCUUAUACUUUUUUAUCAGCCUCAUUUCCCAAGAUAUCUCUGCCCACCCUUCUAGUGAAACAUUCCUAAUCACACAUCAAUAUUACAUGCAGUGUUCCAUAUUAAUAGUCUUCCACUCUGCAUAAAUAUACCCUCUCUUAGACAUUAUAAUUUCAUAGUAUUCAGUUACAGUUAUUUCAUUCUCAAUAAAUUACAUUAUUGCAGUUAGAAUUUAUAUUGUUGUCCUGGUUACACUGAUUUCAUUUUGCAUUAAUUUGUAUAAAUAUUCUCAUCCUCCUAUUUAAUAUUUCUAAACAUACACAAUGGUGUUCCAUUACAUCCACAAACUACAAUUUGUUUAGCCAUUCAUUAGUCAAUGAGCACCUAUUCAAUUCACAGUUAUUUGCUACUACAAAAGAUCUUUGCUGUGAAUAUUUUGGUUUUUAAAAACUUUUCUUGCCAUUGGGUAAAAAUAACUCUUUGGGGUAUAUUUUUAGCAAUUGGAGAGAGAAAUUAAUGCAAAAGCACCGGAGAAAUUCCUAUUCUUUGGAAAAGUUUGAAGAAAAGGAAAUCAAAAUAGGGUAAGUUGCCAUAGAAUAUUCUAUUAAUAUUAAUAUU
This 3588-nucleotide long non-coding RNA is filed under the name Sarcophilus harrisii (Tasmanian devil). RNAcentral's name for it is "lncRNA (ENSSHAG00000031227.1)". Lineage: Eukaryota; Metazoa; Chordata; Mammalia; Dasyuromorphia; Dasyuridae. The record is from RNAcentral.